Long non-coding RNA from Myxocyprinus asiaticus (Chinese sucker), 4055 nucleotides. RefSeq lists it as uncharacterized. Lineage: Eukaryota; Metazoa; Chordata; Actinopteri; Cypriniformes; Catostomidae. The transcript is spliced from 4 exons. The record is from RefSeq and is a predicted model, not a curated record.
UACAACUUUUGUUUAAAAUCCAAUUAUUUAGUUGACUUUAAAGUAAUACACUGGACUCAAAACUUUAUUUGUUUGUCCAGAUAAUAUGAUACAAAUUUUAACUCUAUGCACAGAUAUACCAAUUGCUCUUUCACAGUUCAGUUAAUCUUAUAUUACACUUCCUUCAUGGUAUGAAAAGAACAGCCCAAGGCUGAAUCUUGUCCAGUCAGCUAAGAGUUAACUUUUUGCUUUCAUUCACACUUUUACAAACAAUUGAACUUCACAGUCACUUGACACACACAUUCAGACACAGAUUCAAACAUUCUCACAAACACAGAAACUUUCACACUUUUUACAAACACAAGGCCUUUAUAAACACCUCCUUUCACUCUCCUUCUCUCAGCCACACACUCUCAAUCCUGUACUCAUUUACUCCCACUGUGGAAGAGAGAAACAGGUGCUUUUUCUUAACUUUAAUUUAGUUUCUUUAUUAAUAAUUGUGUUUCUUUAUCUGGAUCACACCAACUACAAUUUGGAUGAUGUCCAAAUAGUCAGCAAAGCCAACAUCUUUGAACGUUUUUAGUUCUUGGAAUGAUUUUUCUAACUUCUUUCACACUUAUUUUGUCAUUCGUUUUACAUUUAUCAAACACAGAGCCUAAUACACCUGUUUCUUUAUAUCACAGCACACUCAAAUGUAUACUCACACAUACAACACAAUACAGCACAGUCAGUAUAAGCGCAUAACCCAGCCAACAUAAACAUGGCACAGUUUAAGCCAGCAGCACAUAUAAACCAACCAUCAAAUUGUGGGCUCAUCAUCUCUCAGCCAGCUCAAGGGCCACUGUUCAAAAACAGGCUCCCUAUCUUCACAGGUGUCAAUACAGAAAGCGGUAUUCAUAGGAUUUUCCACACAACCCAUUUCUGGGUGAAUUUUCCACACAAACCACUUCUGGGUGAACAUUCUUGCAUGAUCUGUCAAUGCCAGACCUCUCAGCAGUGGUACUUUGAGAUGCAGUGCCAACCAUCAAAUUCUGGGCUCACUACCUCUCAGCCAGUUCAAGGGCCUCUGUCCAGUGCAGGCUCCCUCUCCUCACUGGGGCACCACUGAGAGCUGCAUCCACAGAAUUUUGCAUGCUUCAACUUAUUUACAAUACUUUUUUACAUUUGCAUGCACAGUGUUUGAAAUCUGGAACCCAAUUCUCUAUUUUAUCCACUUAAUAAUUUAAUUAAGUUCGAGACUGGAGAGGCUCUUUGAUUUAUCACUACCAGGUCUAACUUACAACAGACUACACAAAACACCUUUUAACCCUUUCGCAUGUAAAUUGUAAAUGAUUUAACUGACCCCCCCAGCGUGAAUUUUUUUCGGCGGUUAUUAUACAGCGUAUCAAAUUUUAAACUCCAGUAUGAUGCAUCAAGCUUGUCACGUGACACUGGGCAGCCACAUGAUGGUUCACAGCUGACUCGUCUCGCUUGGAGCUGGCGGACAGGGUGUAGGUAAGCAAUGCAAGUCGCAUUUCCCUUUUUUUCUUCACUUUAAAACCUUCCUAAUUGGUUCAAAACAUGUAUAAACUAUAAUAAAUGUUUUAACUAAUGGAUUAUAUUGACAUUUAUUUAUUUUAUUUUCUGUGGCUUUGAAUUUCGCUCCCACUUGCAACUUUUCCGUCAAAGCGUUUCAGGACUGCUACUGUUCUCAGUAAUGCUUCAGAGUGUGGUACUCAAAACAUGGGGCAACACACAAGGGAGUGUUGCAUGGCACACACAUGAAUUUGCUGAGGCGCCUCUGCUUUGUCCUGCGAGUGCUGGAUAGGCAGACCUUGCAGUGCCGCCUGGUCCUGCUGCCCUGGGAAGCUGUCUGAGGGACUUCGGAGGGGAAAUGCCUAGCUGUCAGACGCAAGACAGGAUGGCCUGCUUUGGAUGGACACCGAGGUGUGCUGUGCUCUUCCAGCAGUCCUCUCAUCAUGUUCAUCCUGAAUUGCAGGGAUGUGAUGACUUUUCCUAUUGAUAGCAGAGCACAUGGGUGGGAAGUGAGGAGGAGUGUGGAAUAUGACAGCAUGGUCAUUGUUGUUUUUUGUUAAUUUUCGUUUUUAAGUUGAAAUGUAUUCAUUUAGUUUACAUUAAAAAAUUAUUAAAAUGAUUAAACUAUUUAUUUGUUUAUUUAUAUGUAAAUUAUAUGUUGUCCUAAGUCUGAUGUUCAAAUUUCUCACCUGUAAGUUGGCGGUGGAUAAUGUGGCUGUUCAGUACUGCAGUGUCAAGGAGGUGAAAGAAGACUUUCUUGUACCAUUUGGUGGUUUUUCUGGUACAGUCAAAAAAGCCUUUCAUCAUGUCAGCCUUGUCCACUGCCCCCAUCUUUUUGUUAUAUUCAAGCACACAGAGAGGCUUCAUCUUUCUUUCUUUGAUGAUAUAAUCGACUUUUCCGGUGGCUGAAAUGGUGGAUGGAUGGACCGUGGUAAGAAGGUGAAUGUUGGCAUUCCCUUCCUGUUGGCUCAAACAGUCCCACAAGCUCCUGUGUCCAGAGACAGGAGGUUCUGGAACAGUGUGGAACUACUGUACCAGUUGUCCACGAACAGGAUGUGACCCUUUUUCAAGUAUGGGGCCAGUAAUGUCAUGACAACAGACCCAGAGAUUCCAAGGCCUUCAUAGUGCUGGAUGUCGGUAGUGGAUCCUGUGUAUAUGAUCAUGUCCUGCAUGUAACCGGGGGUCGCUGAUGUUUGCCAUCGCAUUGUUGGAGAAGUGUAUGCAGCAGAGGAGAAGAAGGAAACGGUCCUGGGAAAACAAAGUCCCGAAAGAUGGUGUCAGGAGCAUGGGGUCUGUACUCCAAUAAUCACGAAGUGAAUUUUUUUUUCACAAUUCCCAUUAGGAGCACUGCCACCAGGAAUGUGUACGUGAGCAUUUGUUGGAACCCACUUUACAAUCUUCCCUUUCGCUUCAGGUGGUGUUGUCUCCUGCAGCUCUGAGGCAUAGCGGUUUGUUUCCUUAACAAUCCUCAAUUAGUUCUUCAGUAAGGAACAUCUUAAAACAUUGGACUUCACUGGGUGAUUCUGGAGGGUUUUGCACACCACACGUCCAGUCAUCAAAAGUAACUCCAGGUACAGGAGGGGUAAAAUUACUGGUAGAACUCCAGCAGGAAGAGCUUACCUCCUCCACCUCCCUUGGUGUUGUGUGUGCAGGUGUAGGAGCAGUGGCUGAGGCUUAUUCAUCCUCAGCAUCAAGGGCUUGGAGGUUGGGGGGCAUCUCCUGAUCUGUGUCACUUCCCUCAUUGUCAAAAUCUCCCUCCUCAUCAGAAUUAAAAAAUAUUUCUCUGAUCUUCUCAUCCGUAAAUUGUUUUCUUUUUAAAGACAUAUUUUUUAGUGGCAAUUGUAUAAAUAAAACUGUAAAUAAAUCAAAUUAACUCAAGUUGUGUGUGUAAAAUAGAUGGCGAGCUCCGAUGCGAGUUUCAUGUGAAUAAAACAUCGCAUUUGAAAUGUGAUUGUUUUUCUCACUGUUGUCAUAGACAUGAGUGUGUAGAUAUGCACUAGAAAAUUGUAUUCUAAUACUUCUGUUUAUUUUAAUACAAUAAACAUAACAUGUGGUUGAAAAGACUGUUCGAGCAGCUGUUUUAGACGUAAAUGACAAGUGUUUCGCCAGUCACUUUCUAUAGCAAUGGCAGCUAUACAGCAAUGCGAAAGCAGAUUUGGUGAGUUUAUUAUCUACUUUUGCUGCUGUUAUACACAGUAUGUGGAUAUGGACAGUGAACUUAUAUGGUCAGUAUUGUGUUUGUUUGUUUGAAUGCAUGUAACAUAAAAUAAAAAUUUCCUGUGGUAGAAAAGACUGUUGGGGCGUGCUUCGCCAGUCUCUUUCUGUGUAGCAGCUAAACAGUACGACAGCUGAUAUGGUGAGUUUCAGUUAGUUUUGCAUGGUUAUACACUGUGUGGAUUGAGCAGUAAAUUUGUAGUCUUCUGUGUUAGUUUGAAUGCCUGUAACAUAAAAUAAACAUGUGGUUGAAAAGAUUGUUCAAGCAGCUUUUUUAGGCAUGUAAAUGGCAUUGCUUAGCCAAUCCCCCUCUGUAGCAGCAGAUAAACAGCAGGAAAGCAGAUUUG